AGAGUUUGAUCCUGGCUCAGGACGAACGCUGGCGGCGUGCUUAACACAUGCAAGUCGAGCGGUAAGGCCCUUCGGGGUACACGAGCGGCGAACGGGUGAGUAACACGUGAGCAAUCUGCUUCACUCUGGGAUAGCCUCGGGAAACUGAGAUUAAUACCGGAUACGACCACUUCAGGCAUCUGAUGGUGGUGGAAAGUUCC
This 200-nucleotide ribosomal RNA is filed under the name uncultured bacterium. RNAcentral's name for it is "partial 16S ribosomal RNA". It matches the Rfam family "Bacterial small subunit ribosomal RNA", at positions 8 to 211 of the family's 1533-position model. The record is from RNAcentral.